UGCCUCAUAGCUCAAUGGCAGAGCGACGCGCUGUUAACGCGGGGGUUGUAGGUUCAAGUCCUACUGAGGCAGCCA
Molecule: transfer RNA, 75 nt
Filed under: Cyanobacteria bacterium UBA11372
Lineage: Bacteria; Bacillati; Cyanobacteriota
Also listed under: 1 other name
Description: tRNA-Asn
Rfam family: tRNA
About the family: Transfer RNA (tRNA) molecules are approximately 80 nucleotides in length. Their secondary structure includes four short double-helical elements and three loops (D, anti-codon, and T loops). Further hydrogen bonds mediate the characteristic L-shaped molecular structure. tRNAs have two regions of fundamental functional importance: the anti-codon, which is responsible for specific mRNA codon recognition, and the 3' end, to which the tRNAs corresponding amino acid is attached (by aminoacyl-tRNA synthetases). tRNAs cope with the degeneracy of the genetic code in two manners: having more than one tRNA (with a specific anti-codon) for a particular amino acid; and 'wobble' base-pairing, i.e. permitting non-standard base-pairing at the 3rd anti-codon position.
Source: RNAcentral